UGCGCUAAAUCAACAAUCCGAGUC
RNAcentral lists this non-coding RNA (24 nucleotides) under Arabidopsis thaliana (thale cress). The record is from RNAcentral. Lineage: Eukaryota; Viridiplantae; Streptophyta; Magnoliopsida; Brassicales; Brassicaceae.